UAACCGAUUCAACCGUUCCCAACGAAAUUGCUGUUCACAAAGUAUUUCUAAUACAACCGCGACUCCAAACCUAAAAUGGAGCAAAGCAACUUAAGUGGCGCUGAAAAAUGAAAGUCCAUAAAUUUGACUAAAAGUAGCCGCCCAAAAAGCAACGAACGCCCCAAAAAGGCGAAUAAAAAAUACAAACAAAAAAACCGCAACAACCUAAAACGAAGUGCAGAUAGUGCAUGUGUACGUGUAUGUACAUAUGUAUAUGUAUGUAGUAAACCUCAAGUGCAGAUCUUAUUUCAGCGUUGCAUACAUUUGGGCGGUAACGCGUGCCAUCCCUUCGCACAUUUCACUUCUAAACGUAAAAUGUGUGUUCCAAUGUGCCAAAAGUAGAACAAAGUGGGCUAAAGCUUUGUCAGCAGGAGAGUCUGCCAGCAGACAUCAUAAUCAGCAUCUUCAUCACCAGCUUCUGCAGCAACAACUAAAAUAGCAAUCACAACAACGAAUAUAGCUUCAGCGCGAAUAGGGGGUGUUUGCCGGCCGGCCUAUAUGCCGCAGCUUAACGGCGGUCCAACUUUAGCAUAACUCAUCUCUAAUCUUCUACAACUCUCACUUCUCCUACUGCACUUCCUGCACUGGUCAACUUGCUUGGGUAGAGGGGGUCAUCGAAAGGCAUAAUUACCCCACACAGGCUGUACGCCUGCCAAGCUUCCAGCCAACCAUUUUGCGGAACGUCUGCAAAUCAAACUUCCAACCACAACUCACGCCCACAUUUGCUAUGUGAA
Long non-coding RNA from Rhagoletis pomonella (apple maggot), 773 nucleotides. RefSeq lists it as uncharacterized. The transcript has 3 exons. The record is from RefSeq and is a predicted model, not a curated record. Lineage: Eukaryota; Metazoa; Arthropoda; Insecta; Diptera; Tephritidae.